This 417-nucleotide ribosomal RNA is filed under the name uncultured bacterium. RNAcentral describes it as "bacterial SSU rRNA". It matches the Rfam family "Bacterial small subunit ribosomal RNA", at positions 506 to 921 of the family's 1533-position model. The record is from RNAcentral.
UGCCAGCAGCCGCGGUAAUACGUAGGGGGCAAGCGUUGUCCGGAAUUAUUGGGCGUAAAGGGCGCGUAGGCGGAUGUUUAAGUCCGGUGUGAAAGAUCAGGGCUCAACCCUGAGAGUGCAUCGGAAACUGGGCAUCUUGAGGACAGGAGAGGAAAGUGGAAUUCCACGUGUAGCGGUGAAAUGCGUAGAUAUGUGGAGGAACACCAGUGGCGAAGGCGACUUUCUGGACUGUAACUGACGCUGAGGCGCGAAAGCGUGGGGAGCAAACAGGAUUAGAUACCCUGGUAGUCCACGCCGUAAACGAUGAGUGCUAGGUGUAGAGGGUAUCGACCCCUUCUGUGCCGCAGUUAACACAAUAAGCACUCCGCCUGGGGAGUACGGCCGCAAGGUUGAAACUUAAAGGAAUUGGCGGGGGAC